Molecule: long non-coding RNA, 955 nt
Organism: Panthera uncia (snow leopard)
Lineage: Eukaryota; Metazoa; Chordata; Mammalia; Carnivora; Felidae
Exons: 4
Source: RefSeq, a predicted model, not a curated record
UUUAUGGUAAAAUAAUCUGGCAUAUAAGUAAAUCCCACCGGCUCACAACUUUGUAAGGUGCUGAAGAGGAUGAAGCUCCUUAUCCCUGGAAGACCAGUGUGUUUUUUUACGGAAUGUCUAAAGCUUUAUGACCCAAGAAUACCUUUCUCAAGGACCCAGGAGCUACUUCUUGGAAAUGCAAUCUUCAAAUGAGACAGAACCCCACGUGUAUCUCCAGUUUCUUUGGGAAGGCUUAUGAUGAAAAAAUACAAUUGGCAUCACAAGACCUAUACCUCAUGGAUCCUGGAAUUUCCUUCUCCACUUCCUUCUUAAAUCCUGAAUGGAACUGUAAGAAGAAUAUAAGAAAGCAAAAAAAACACAGAGGAGGCAUUGACUAUGCAAAUUUGCCAAUAACUAGGGAUUCGUACUCACUUAUCAUUGGAGGAGUGAUAUUAUACCUCAUUUUAGCCUCGCAGAAACCCUUAGAGCUGGCUUCACUGAAAGUCAAAUCCAGUGACAACUCAGCCAGAAUAAAUGAGUAACGUGCUAAGUAAUGUUACGCAGAUUCUUCUGUGAAAGGAAUUCAAGACAGCCUUGACAUCCAUCUAUCAAGCAUGGUUAGUACUAAUAAAAUCAGGCCUCCCACAGUGCAGGUGGAUGGGCUGGCUGACCUUGUAUCUCAAAUGAUUCAUGGUAAUUUGUGGUUCCUCAUGAUAAUUAGAAGUCCUGCAGGAGGAAAAAACUAAAUAACUCCCUCCAACUGAUGCACGUUGUCAAGAAACAGACCUUAUAUACCUGUAUUUCUCUGUGCCCCUCUAAUCAAGUGUCUUGAGCAUCUCAUUUUAGAAGAUGGCAAAGUGCAUAAGAUAGAAGCUAGGAAGAAACUGGAGAUGGCUUAAAUUUCAUAUCUGCCCUUGAAUCUUCAUGUGGAAGCACCCACACUUGACCAUCAGCAGAGUUGAGGCCAAGACAUAUA